Molecule: ribosomal RNA, 301 nt
Filed under: uncultured bacterium
Lineage: Bacteria
Description: partial 16S ribosomal RNA
Rfam family: Bacterial small subunit ribosomal RNA
Source: RNAcentral
CAGUCGCCACGGUAAUACGGAGGGGGCUAGCGUUGUUCGGAAUUACUGGGCGUAAAGCGCACGUAGGCGGCUUGGUAAGUUAGAGGUGAAAGCCCGGAGCUCAACUCCGGAAUUGCCUUUAAGACUGCCGAGCUAGCAGGUGAGAGAGGUAAGUGGAAUUCCGAGUGUAGAGGUGAAAUUCGUAGAUAUUCGGAAGAACACCAGUGGCGAAGGCGGCUUACUGGCUCAUACUGGACGCUGAGGUGCGAAAGCGUGGGGAGCAAACAGGAUUAGAUACCCGUGUAGUCCCUGUCUCUUAUAC